This 261-nucleotide ribosomal RNA is filed under the name uncultured bacterium. RNAcentral describes it as "partial 16S ribosomal RNA". It matches the Rfam family "Bacterial small subunit ribosomal RNA", at positions 524 to 784 of the family's 1533-position model. The record is from RNAcentral.
UACGUAGGGUGCAAGCGUUAAUCGGAAUUACUGGGCGUAAAGCGUGCGCAGGCGGUUCGCUAAGACAGAUGUGAAAUCCCCGGGCUUAACCUGGGAACUGCAUUUGUGACUGGCGGGCUAGAGUAUGGCAGAGGGGGGUAGAAUUCCACGUGUAGCAGUGAAAUGCGUAGAGAUGUGGAAGAACACCGAUGGCGAAGGCAGCCCCCUGGGUCAAGAUUGACGCUCAUGCACGAAAGCGUGGGGAGCAAACAGGAUUGAGAA